GCAGUCUGCAACUCGACUGCAUGAAGCUGGAAUCGCUAGUAAUCGCGAAUCAGAAUGUCGCGGUGAAUACGUUCCCGGGUCUUGUACACACCGCCCGUCACACCAUGGGAGUUGGAAGCGCCCGAAGUCUGUGACCUAACCGUAAGGGAGGAGCAGCCGAAGGUGAAGCCAGUGACUGGGGUGAAGUCGUAACAAGGUAAC
This 201-nucleotide ribosomal RNA is filed under the name uncultured bacterium. RNAcentral describes it as "partial 16S ribosomal RNA". It matches the Rfam family "Bacterial small subunit ribosomal RNA", at positions 1300 to 1500 of the family's 1533-position model. The record is from RNAcentral.